UUUUUUUUUGUCGUUAAGACUUAGAAUUGCACAAAAAUAAUGGAUUUAUACUUUAACGAAAACAUCUCUUGAAAAGUUAUUCGUUGAUGGCUAAAUGAUAUUUAUUUCUGAAAUCUAAAUCUUGUUUCGCUGUUCUGAGUGUUCAAGAUGUUACAUGCAGUUAAGAGUGGUGAAACAAAUACAAAAAAACACUGGUCUGUAUAAAAUGUACGCAAAAGUAAACGAAAGAAAGCCGCUGGAAUGCACUCCUGGUCUCAGAUAAGCACAUUUAAAAAAUGACAGCUAACAUGAAAUAAGUGCCAAUAAAAGAGUGAGUCCAACACUUGCUUUUUCAAAAACA
RNAcentral lists this long non-coding RNA (340 nucleotides) under Mytilus galloprovincialis (Mediterranean mussel). The record is from RNAcentral. Lineage: Eukaryota; Metazoa; Mollusca; Bivalvia; Mytilida; Mytilidae.